UACAGAGGGUGCGAGCGUUGUCCGGAAUCACUGGGCGUAAGGGCGCGUAGGUGGCGCGGCAAGUCCGUGGUGAAAGCUCGACGCUCAACGUCGAGUCGGCCACGGAUACUGCCGGGCUUGAGCACUGUAGAGGCAGAUGGAAUUCCGGGUGUAGCGGUGGAAUGCGUAGAGAUCCGGAAGAACACCGGUGGCGAAGGCGGUCUGCUGGGCAGUUGCUGACACUGAGGCGCGACAGCGUGGGGAGCAAACAGG
Molecule: ribosomal RNA, 252 nt
Filed under: uncultured bacterium
Lineage: Bacteria
Description: partial 16S ribosomal RNA
Rfam family: Bacterial small subunit ribosomal RNA
Source: RNAcentral